Molecule: ribosomal RNA, 540 nt
Filed under: Desulfobulbus sp. oral taxon 041
Lineage: Bacteria; Pseudomonadati; Thermodesulfobacteriota; Desulfobulbia; Desulfobulbales; Desulfobulbaceae
Description: bacterial SSU rRNA
Rfam family: Bacterial small subunit ribosomal RNA
Source: RNAcentral
ACCCUGACGCAGCGACGCCGCGUGAGUGAGGAAGGUCUUCGGAUCGUAAAGCUCUGUCAAGAGGGAAGAAGUGCAAGGCAGCGAAUAACUGUUUUGUUUGACGGUACCUCUAAAGGAAGCACCGGCUAACUCCGUGCCAGCAGCCGCGGUAAUACGGAGGGUGCGAGCGUUGUUCGGAAUCACUGGGCGUAAAGGGCGCGCAGGCGGGCUGUCAAGUCAGAUGUGAAAUCCCACGGCUUAACUGUGGACGUGCAUUUGAAACUGGCAGUCUUGAGUACCAGAGGGGAAUGUGGAAUUCCCGGUGUAGAGGUGAAAUUCGUAGAUAUCGGGAGGAAUACCGGUGGCGAAGGCGACAUUCUGGCUGGAUACUGACGCUGAGGCGCGAAAGCGUGGGGAGCAAACAGGAUUAGAUACCCUGGUAGUCCACGCCGUAAACGAUGUGAACUAGAUGCAGGGGGUGUUGAUCCCCUCUGUGUCGCAGCUAACGCAUUAAGUUCACCGCCUGGGGAGUACGGUCGCAAGAUUAAAACUCAAAGGAAU